This is a non-coding RNA of Chlorocebus sabaeus (green monkey), 279 nucleotides long. NCBI's taxonomy places the organism in Eukaryota, Metazoa, Chordata, Mammalia, Primates, Cercopithecidae. The record is from Rfam.
GCCAGGCCUGAUGGCGUGUGCCUGUAAUCCCAGCUACUCGGGAGGCUAAGGCAGGAGAAUCGCUUGAACCUGGGAGGUGGAGGUUGUAAUGAACCGAUAUCACACCACCACACUCCAGCCUGGCGACACAGGAAGACUCCGUCUCAAAAAAAAAAAAAAAANNNNNNNNNNUUUUUUUUUUGAGACGGAGCCUUCCUGUGUCGCCAGGCUGGAGUGUGGUGGUGUGAUAUCGGUUCAUUACAACCUCCACCUCCCAGGUUCAAGCGAUUCUCCUGCCUC